CAGGAUGGUUUUAUCUAUGUGGGACCUACUCCCUGGAUCUCUGCUGCAAGGCACCCAGCGGUGAAUCACCUGGAGAAGGCAAUCAUAACAAUAUGAAAGUAAGGAAAGCUUGGAAAUACACUAAAUAACUAGAGAAAUGCUGUUUGGCACACAAAAUCCAAUCUGAGGAUAACAUAUUUUGAGGGAAGAGGCCUAUAAAGGAAGAGUGUAGAUGAUGGCAUCCUGUGACAAGCAAGGCCAGUUAACAAAUUCCUUGGAAGCAAUUGCUAAGUGACACUGGCCAACUGCCAAGGAGUACUCAGAAUGAUAUGCAUUAUCACUAGGAUAUUCCUUAUCUGCAAUGGCUAACACAAUUUCAACAAAACUACCAAGAUUUCCCCUGGCAACUUAAAUCAAUGGUGAACUGGCAUACGCUCAAAGACUUUGUAUGUGGCAGUAACCAAGAAGUGAACAAUGAAAAGGAAACGGACAAUAUUUUUACAGUGACUUCUACAGAAAAUGUUCUUAGUUUGCAAAUCAAAAGAUACAAACUGCCAGCACUGCAAAGGAAGCUGUUCUGCCUUUCAUGUUACAACCAGUAAAUAAAGAUACCGCAAGCAAAACUAAACUUAUAAAUUUUGUUGUUAAUGUAUGAAGUAGAACAGAAUCUAGCUGACUCUCUCACCGCUGUGUGCUAAAAUAAAACAUGUCUGUAAUGUGAGUAGAUAUUGCUCAGUAUUCCAGUAGGCCACCUGUUCAGCAAAAUAAAGAUGAACCUUUCUAGUCAUAACUGCACUUCUGUUCUGCACUGAGAAACUCCAGGACAUAUGU
Long non-coding RNA from Mauremys reevesii (Reeves's turtle), 810 nucleotides. RefSeq lists it as uncharacterized. The transcript is spliced from 4 exons. Lineage: Eukaryota; Metazoa; Chordata; Testudines; Geoemydidae. The record is from RefSeq and is a predicted model, not a curated record.